AGGCUUUAUCAAAUGGUGCGAAGG
This 24-nucleotide non-coding RNA is filed under the name Arabidopsis thaliana (thale cress). The record is from RNAcentral. Lineage: Eukaryota; Viridiplantae; Streptophyta; Magnoliopsida; Brassicales; Brassicaceae.